Molecule: unclassified non-coding RNA, 689 nt
Filed under: Hevea brasiliensis (rubber tree)
Lineage: Eukaryota; Viridiplantae; Streptophyta; Magnoliopsida; Malpighiales; Euphorbiaceae
Source: RNAcentral
AGAAUCUUCCUUGUGAUGUUUCUAAGUUGGCAUCUUUUGAAAAGCUUAUUCUUUCUGGCUGCACAAGAAUCACUAGGUUUCCAGAGGUUUCGAGUAAUAUAAAGAAGUCGCUUUUAGAUGGGACAAAGAUCGAAGAAAUUCCCUCAUCAAUAGAGUAUUGAUUUGAACUUGAGGAACUAGGCCUGCAAAACUGCACAAGAUUUCAUAUUCUUCCGAGUAGUUUUUGUAAGUUGGAAUAUUUGCGAAGGCUUAAUCUCUCAGGCUGCUCCAGAUUUGAGAGUUUCCAGAAAUUUCGUGUGACAGGGAUUCAUUGAGAUUUCUUCACUUAGAUGGAACAGCGAUAAGAAAGGUGCCCUCACCAAUGAAAAUUUUGAGUGGUCUUUCUAUCUUGCAACUGAGAAACUGCAAAAAACUUAAAUUGAGUGGUGUCUCUAUCUGGGAAAAACUUGGUGUCUCUACUUGGGAAAGACUUUUUCCAUUGUCAAUGGCCAUCGCAGAAUUCCAGUGGAGAGAUUUGAGGUUCUUGCGUAAGCUAUAUCUAAAUGAUUGCAGCAUAUUGAAUGUGCCUAAUGCUAUUGGCUUCUUAUUCUCACUAGAAGCAUUAGAUCUAAGUGGAAACUUAUUUUCAGAGAUACCUCAAAACAUCCUUCAGCUCGAAAAGCUGGAGUACCUCGGCUUAAGAGAUUGCC